GGGGUCGUAGUUAAAUUAACAUUUAAUUUGCAAUUAAAAAAUACUACUCAAUAAUAGUCUUCCUCA
Molecule: transfer RNA, 66 nt
Filed under: Poecilocoris druraei
Lineage: Eukaryota; Metazoa; Arthropoda; Insecta; Hemiptera; Scutelleridae
Description: tRNA-Ala
Source: RNAcentral